Molecule: ribosomal RNA, 449 nt
Filed under: uncultured Desulfobulbus sp.
Lineage: Bacteria; Pseudomonadati; Thermodesulfobacteriota; Desulfobulbia; Desulfobulbales; Desulfobulbaceae
Description: bacterial SSU rRNA
Rfam family: Bacterial small subunit ribosomal RNA
Source: RNAcentral
AGUAUGUGGUUAAUUCGAUGCAACGCGAAGAACCUUACCUGGUCUUGACAUCCCGGAGACCUUAGGAAACUAGGGGUGCUUCCAUCUGGAAGAAUCUGGAGACAGGUGCUGCAUGGCUGUCGUCAGCUCGUGUCGUGAGAUGUUGGGUUAAGUCCCGCAACGAGCGCAACCCUUGCCUUUAGUUGCCAGCAGUUCGGCUGGGCACUCUAAAGGGGCUGCCGGUGUUAAACCGGAGGAAGUGGGGAUGACGUCAAGUCCUCAUGGCCCUUAUGUCCAGGGCGACACACGUGCUACAAUGGCCGGCACAACGGGAAGCGAGUUCGCGAGGACGAGCGGAUCCCUUAAAGCCGGUCGCAGUUCGGAUUGAAGUCUGCAACUCGACUUCAUGAAGCUGGAAUCGCUAGUAAUCGCAGAUCAGCCAAGCUGCGGUGAAUACGUUCCCGGGCCUU